This is a long non-coding RNA of Homo sapiens (human), 344 nucleotides long. RefSeq lists it as uncharacterized. The transcript has 2 exons. Lineage: Eukaryota; Metazoa; Chordata; Mammalia; Primates; Hominidae. The record is from RefSeq and is a predicted model, not a curated record.
GUCAGAUAUGGGUGGUGACAAUCCUGAAAUGGAUGAAUGACAAAAAUUACAUCUUUAGAAAAAGAGUUGUUAGAAAAAAGCCUUGGCUGCAUGUGGGGGAAGUGACAGCACAGAAGAGACCAGAGAAGAGCCUCCUGGAGGAGAGCCUGCACUUUGACCAUGCUGUCCGGAUGGGUGCAGUGCUCUUUUCUGCAAAGUGUUCACUUCUCUGCUUUUUCUGUGGUCCCAUUUCAUAGAAAGAUUUGGGGUGAUGUUUCUUUCCCUCAACUUUUAUUUUGAAAACUUGCAAACACAGAAAAGUUGAUAAAAUCAUACAGUGAACAUCUGUAUGCUAUUCAACUGGA